This 662-nucleotide ribosomal RNA is filed under the name Aeromonas dhakensis. RNAcentral's name for it is "partial 23S ribosomal RNA". It matches the Rfam family "Bacterial large subunit ribosomal RNA", at positions 2267 to 2925 of the family's 2925-position model. Lineage: Bacteria; Pseudomonadati; Pseudomonadota; Gammaproteobacteria; Aeromonadales; Aeromonadaceae. The record is from RNAcentral.
AGUUUGACUGGGGCGGUCUCCUCCCAAAGAGUAACGGAGGAGCACGAAGGUUGGCUAAUCCUGGUCGGACAUCAGGAGGUUAGUGCAAUGGCAUAAGCCAGCUUAACUGCGAGACGGACAGGUCGAGCAGGUACGAAAGUAGGUCAUAGUGAUCCGGUGGUUCUGAAUGGAAGGGCCAUCGCUCAACGGAUAAAAGGUACUCCGGGGAUAACAGGCUGAUACCGCCCAAGAGUUCAUAUCGACGGCGGUGUUUGGCACCUCGAUGUCGGCUCAUCACAUCCUGGGGCUGAAGUCGGUCCCAAGGGUAUGGCUGUUCGCCAUUUAAAGUGGUACGCGAGCUGGGUUCAGAACGUCGUGAGACAGUUCGGUCCCUAUCUGCCGUGGGCGUUGGAUGAUUGAAGGGAGUUGCUCCUAGUACGAGAGGACCGGAGUGAACGAACCUCUGGUGUUCGGGUUGUCACGCCAGUGGCACUGCCCGGUAGCUAAGUUCGGAAUCGAUAACCGCUGAAAGCAUCUAAGCGGGAAGCGAGCCCUGAGAUGAGUCAUCCCUGACCCCUUGAGGGUCCUAAAGGGCCGUUGGAGACCACAACGUUGAUAGGUGGGGUGUGUAAGCGCGGCGACGUGUUGAGCUAACCCAUACUAAUUACCCGUGAGGCUUAACC